This is a non-coding RNA of Phrynosoma platyrhinos (Desert horned lizard), 71 nucleotides long. Lineage: Eukaryota; Metazoa; Chordata; Lepidosauria; Squamata; Phrynosomatidae. The record is from the annotation of a GenBank genome assembly.
GCCAGUGUGGCAUAGUGGUUUGAGUGUUGUACUACAACUCUAGAAACCGGGGUUCAAUUCCCAGCUCAGCA